This 570-nucleotide ribosomal RNA is filed under the name Leptosporella sp. Its description in RNAcentral is "eukaryotic LSU rRNA". It matches the Rfam family "Eukaryotic large subunit ribosomal RNA", at positions 1 to 571 of the family's 3401-position model. The record is from RNAcentral. Lineage: Eukaryota; Fungi; Ascomycota; Sordariomycetes; Chaetosphaeriales; Leptosporellaceae.
ACAGACCGGUUGACCUCGGAUCAGGUAGGAAUACCCGCUGAACUUAAGCAUAUCAAUAAGCGGAGGAAAAGAAACCAACAGGGAUUGCCCUAGUAACGGCGAGUGAAGCGGCAACAGCUCAAAUUUGAAAUCCGGCCCCCGGGCCCGAGUUGUAAUUUGUAGAGGAUGCUUCGGGCGCGGCGCCUUCCGAGUCCCCUGGAACGGGGCGCCACAGAGGGUGAGAGCCCCGUACGGUUGGACGCCUAGCCCGUGUGAAGCUCCUUCAACGAGUCGAGUAGUUUGGGAAUGCUGCUCAAAAUGGGAGGUAAGUUCCUUCUAAAGCUAAAUACCGGCCAGAGACCGAUAGCGCACAAGUAGAGUGAUCGAAAGAUGAAAAGCACUUUGAAAAGAGGGUUAAAUAGCACGUGAAAUUGCUGAAAGGGAAGCGCUCGUGACCAGACGCGCGCCGGGCGGAUCAUCCAGCGUUCUCGCUGGUGCACUCCGCCCGGCGCGGGCCAGCGUCGGUUCUCGCGGGGGGGCAAAGGCGCCGGGAACGUAGCUCCUCCGGGAGCGUUAUAGCCCGCGCUCACG